GCUUACGGCCACACUACCCUGAACACGCCCGAUCUCGUCUGAUCUCGGAAGCUAAGCAGGGUCGGGCCUGGUCAGUACUUGGAUGGGAGACCGCCUGGGAAUACCAGGUGCUGUAAGCU
RNAcentral lists this ribosomal RNA (119 nucleotides) under Amphilophus citrinellus (Midas cichlid). Lineage: Eukaryota; Metazoa; Chordata; Actinopteri; Cichliformes; Cichlidae. The record is from RNAcentral.